RNAcentral lists this ribosomal RNA (325 nucleotides) under uncultured eukaryote. RNAcentral's name for it is "partial 18S ribosomal RNA". It matches the Rfam family "Eukaryotic small subunit ribosomal RNA", at positions 1470 to 1796 of the family's 1831-position model. The record is from RNAcentral.
CCCUUAGAUGUUCUGGGCCGCACGCGCGCUACACUGACUGGUGCAACAAGUGUCGCUCCUUGGCCGAUAGGCCUGGGCAAUCUUUGAACGCCAGUCGUGAUGGGGAUAGAUUCUUGCAAUUUUUGAUCUUCAACGAGGAAUUCCUAGUAAACGCGAGUCAUCAACUCGCAUUGAUUACGUCCCUGCCCUUUGUACACACCGCCCGUCGCACCUACCGAUUGAAUGGUCCGGUGAACCCUCCGGAUCGGCCUGCGCCAACGCAAGUUGAGUAAAGGCCGAGAAGUUGGGUAAACCUUACCAUUUAGAGGAAGGUGAAGUCGUAACA